Long non-coding RNA from Thalassophryne amazonica, 99 nucleotides. RefSeq lists it as uncharacterized. The record is from RefSeq and is a predicted model, not a curated record. Lineage: Eukaryota; Metazoa; Chordata; Actinopteri; Batrachoidiformes; Batrachoididae. The transcript is spliced from 3 exons.
UGUCAGCUCAGUAAUUUAAAAAUACCAAAAAAUAAAUAAAUCUAUUCCUGAAAAUGAUGCACUUCAUGCUAAAUAGUGGGGCGACAUAACUAUUAUGUU